CAGCACUAAGUGGGUGGUAAACUCCAUCUAAAACUAAAUAUAACCAUGAGACCGAUAGCAAACAAGUACCGUGAGGGAAAGUUGAAAAGAACUCUGAAUAGAGAGUUAAAUAGUACGUGAAACUGCUUAGAGGUUAAGCCCGAUGAACCUGAAUAUCCGUUGUAGAAAAUUCAUCAUCAAUUGUGUGGUAUUUUUUAAAUAUCAUAUGAAUGGUGUGCACUUUUUCUACUUAAGGACAUUGUAAUCUGUUAAUGUUUGAAUGCGUAUUAUAAGAACAUUUACAAUAGUUUUUACAUUAUUUAAUUUAUUAAAUAUGUUUAAAUGUAAAUGCUUCGAAUAUGCCAUUGACAGAUUUUUACAUAUAUUGCACUUAAAUCUUUUGAUUUUAUAAUAAUAUGGUUAUCAUUGAUUUCUGUAUUUAUUAUAUGUGCAUAUAUGAUUGACAAUGCGAAAGAUUCAGGAUACCUUCGGGACCC
Molecule: ribosomal RNA, 476 nt
Filed under: Megaselia communiformis
Lineage: Eukaryota; Metazoa; Arthropoda; Insecta; Diptera; Phoridae
Description: eukaryotic LSU rRNA
Rfam family: Eukaryotic large subunit ribosomal RNA
Source: RNAcentral